RNAcentral lists this long non-coding RNA (385 nucleotides) under Oryzias javanicus (javanese ricefish). RNAcentral describes it as "lncRNA (ENSOJAG00000014531.1)". The record is from RNAcentral. Lineage: Eukaryota; Metazoa; Chordata; Actinopteri; Beloniformes; Adrianichthyidae.
CAGCAUGCUGCCACCGAAUCUCCUGAUUGUGUCACUGGUCAUCCUCCUGGCGACCACAGUCUCUACGGCUCCCGUCGAGGAGAAGGAGCGAGAAGAAGCUGAACUAGAGGCUACAGAGGAGGUGGAGGGCGAGCUGUCUGAGGAGGAAGAGGCAGGUAAUCUUGGCACUCAGCAGACCAUCACUUCCAUAGCGGCGGCCGGAGGUUCAGUUUCUGGUGGUCCAUCAGCAGGAAUGGGACCAAACGACGGAGCGGCAGGAAGUUCUGCAGGUAAAACUGGACAAAAAUCACAAAACUGACAGGAGAAACUGAGGCUGAAAUUAGGAUUUUUUUUAUUUUUUUAUCUGUUUUUAAUGAAAGUUUGAAUGUUUUUGAUUCCACUAAAC